AUUGAACGCUGGCGGCAGGCCUAACACAUGCAGGUCGAGCGGAUGACGGGAGCUUGCUCCUUGAUUCAGCGGCGGACGGGUGAGUAAUGCCUAGGAAUCUGCCUGGUAGUGGGGGACAACGUUUCGAAAGGAACGCUAAUACCGCAUACGUCCUACGGGAGAAAGCAGGGGACCUUCGGGCCUUGCGCUAUCAGAUGAGCCUAGGUCGGAUUAGCUAGUAGGUGAGGUAAUGGCUCACCUAGGCGACGAUCCGUAACUGGUCUGAGAGGAUGAUCAGUCACACUGGAACUGAGACACGGUCCAGACUCCUACGGGAGGCAGCAGUGGGGAAUAUUGGACAAUGGGCGAAAGCCUGAUCCAGCCAUGCCGCGUGUGUGAAGAAGGUCUUCGGAUUGUAAAGCACUUUAAGUUGGGAGGAAGGGCAGUAAGUUAAUACCUUGCUGUUUUGACGUUACCGACAGAAUAAGCACCGGCUAACUCUGUGCCAGCCGCCGCAGUAC
This 500-nucleotide ribosomal RNA is filed under the name uncultured bacterium. Its description in RNAcentral is "partial 16S ribosomal RNA". It matches the Rfam family "Bacterial small subunit ribosomal RNA", at positions 30 to 523 of the family's 1533-position model. The record is from RNAcentral.